GGCCCCGUAGCUCAGCCUGGAUAGAGCAGUACCGUCCUAAGGUGAAGGUCGUGCGUUCGAAUCGCACCGGGGUCG
Molecule: transfer RNA, 75 nt
Rfam family: tRNA
About the family: Transfer RNA (tRNA) molecules are approximately 80 nucleotides in length. Their secondary structure includes four short double-helical elements and three loops (D, anti-codon, and T loops). Further hydrogen bonds mediate the characteristic L-shaped molecular structure. tRNAs have two regions of fundamental functional importance: the anti-codon, which is responsible for specific mRNA codon recognition, and the 3' end, to which the tRNAs corresponding amino acid is attached (by aminoacyl-tRNA synthetases). tRNAs cope with the degeneracy of the genetic code in two manners: having more than one tRNA (with a specific anti-codon) for a particular amino acid; and 'wobble' base-pairing, i.e. permitting non-standard base-pairing at the 3rd anti-codon position.